This 210-nucleotide non-coding RNA is filed under the name Caldisalinibacter kiritimatiensis. RNAcentral's name for it is "T-box sequence". It matches the Rfam family "T-box leader". Rfam says of the family: Uncharged tRNA acts as the effector for transcription antitermination of genes in the T-box leader family. T-boxes are found upstream of many aminoacyl-tRNA synthetase genes and some amino acid biosynthetic genes usually in Gram-positive bacteria. Lineage: Bacteria; Bacillati; Bacillota; Tissierellia; Tissierellales; Thermohalobacteraceae. The record is from RNAcentral.
UUUAAUACUAUGAUGAGGAAGAGUAGUUAAAUCCCUUAGCUAUAGAGAGCCGGUGAUGGUGGAAAUCCGGUGCUAACAUUUAACGAAGACACCUCGGAGUAGGUAGAUGAACUAGAAAGUCUACUCGUUAGUCAGCGUUAAUGACACCUAAGUGGGAUUUUUAUAUCCAAAUAGGGUGGCACCGCGGGAAUAUUGCCUCUCGUCCCUGUC